This 654-nucleotide ribosomal RNA is filed under the name uncultured bacterium. RNAcentral describes it as "bacterial SSU rRNA". It matches the Rfam family "Bacterial small subunit ribosomal RNA", at positions 232 to 885 of the family's 1533-position model. The record is from RNAcentral.
CGCGGCCUAUCAGCUUGUUGGCGAGGUAACGGCUCACCAAGGCAACGACGGGUAGCUGGUCUGAGAGGAUGGCCAGCCACAUUGGGACUGAGAUACGGCCCAGACUCCUACGGGAGGCAGCAGUGGGGAAUCUUGCGCAAUGGCCUAACGGCUGACGCAGCGACGCCGCGUGUGGGAUGAAGCUCUUCGGAGUGUAAACCACUGUUGCCCGGGACGAACAGCUCGAUUAAUCGAGCCUGACGGUACCGGGUGAGGAAGCACCGGCUAACUCCGUGCCAGCAGCCGCGGUAAUACGGGGGGUGCGAGCGUUGUCCGGAAUCACUGGGCGUAAAGGGCGCGUAGGUGGUUUGAUAAGGGUGUGGUGAAAGUCCGGGGCUCAACCCCGGAUCUGCCGUGCCGACUGUCAAACUCGAGGACUGUAGAGGCAGACGGAAUUCCGGGUGUAGCGGUGGAAUGCGUAGAGAUCCGGAGGAAGACCGGUGGCGAAGGCGGUCUGCUGGGCAGUUUCUGACACUGAGGCGCGACAGCGUGGGGAGCAAACAGGAUUAGAUACCCUGGUAGUCCACGCCGUAAACGAUGGGUACUAGGUGCCUGGGGGAGCGACCCUCUGGGUGCCGGCGCUAACGCAGGAAGUACCCCGCCUGGGGAGUACGG